GUAAAACUGUACAUUCACUAGGUAUUUUCAGUCAUUUUACUGACUUCCACUAGGUAAGAAAAUACAAUUUCGUAUUAGUAUCUCGUGCUUGAGUGUAUGAAAAGAAACUUUCUACCCUACAUGCUGUACUGCCUCCUGUAUUUAGGUUUGUAAAAAUUUUCCAAGUAUAUAGCACAAGUGGAAGUAGUUUCUCAUCACUUAAAAUUGACUAGGUGUUAUAUAUUACAGACCAAAAUAGUACACACCUUAUUUAAAAGGGUUGAAACAUUUUUUUUAUUACAAUUGUCAAAGUCAUUUCACUAGUAACUCAGGAAUUAGGAACACUUUUUAUAUAUAUUUAUAUAUAUAUAUUUAAAUGCCUGCCAUUUUCAGUGUAUUGGCUGUACCCUAGCCAAAAACAAACCAAAAAAAAAAAAAAACAACCCAACCAAAAAACAGAAAGGAAAAAAAGAACACAACACACAGGGCGAGGAAGGGGACUGCAAAUUCACCCCACAAACCAGAUCCAAAGGAACACCCCAAAAAACCCCCCAGAAACAUUUGGUCACUAUUUACAAACAGCAAAAGAAAAGGUACCUACAAAAGCAGGGAAAGCAAUGGCUGAAAAUGGCAGUCAUUCACGGACAGGCAACAAAGAAAUCACUUUAUCAAUAUGCCAUUCUCACACCUGUUGCUGCAGAGGGAUGCUUUGCCUAGAUUUGGAGCACCCCCCAAAAAUGCUUACAAUGUAUUUUGUGACUGGCAGAGGUGGAAAACUCCAACAACCAGGGAUAUUCAGCUGUCUCAGAACAAAGCAUGUGUAUUUGGGGUAUCAUCCACUGAUCUUAAAACUUUUUUUCUUUAGGGAUGUCAACUAUCCACUCCAAUAAUAAGAAACAAAUUACCACUUGGUUUAUACUUACUAUUGCAGUUACAGGGACUAAGAGAGGGACAAAAAGAAAAUAAAAUAUAUUAAAUGAAUAGGAGGAGGAGUGGCAGUAAAAAUAGUAUUUUAUUCCCUUGCCCACCCAGUCUGCUUCUCCCUCUCAUUCCCACAGCAACAUUACAAUCAGGAAAAAAAAAAAAAGAAAAAAAAAGGUUGGGGGUGUGGGGAGGGGAAAUACAGGGUAAAAACAGUCAAAUCACAAUAGGAAAUUUUCAAAAUAGGUUAUUCAGUUUAGUCAUCUUCAUCUCCUUCGUCUUCGGGUUCUCGUUUCCUCUUCUGUCCCCGUUCUUCAUCGGGUUCUUCUUCAUCUUCAUCAUCAUCUACGUCACCAUCAUUAUAGCCUUCCUCAUCCUCCUCUUCCUCUCCGCUUACGUCCUCCUCUUCUCCUUCCUCUUCCUCCUCCUCAUCCUCUUCAUCUUCUACUACCUGAGCAUCAUCGUCAUACUCCUCUUCGUCUUCAUCUUCCUCCUCGUCGUCUAAGCCUUCCACGUAGCCCUCUGCAUCAGAGUCCGGUGCUUCUUUGUCAUCCCGAUCUUUCACUAGAGAUAAGACAUCUUCAUCUUCCUCCUCAUCGUCUAAGCCCUCCACGUAGCCCUCUGCAUCAGAGUCUGGUGCUUCUUUGUCAUCCCGAUCGUAGCCAUCGAGGUAUGUGAGUUGUGGGAGGAGCUUGAAUACGUUUUCUCUAUAAUCAUUCAAGUUGGUUACCUCGCAAUUGAAAAGAUCUAAACUCUUCAGGUUUUCUAACUUUUUCAGAGGUUCUAUUGUACCAAGAUCUUUUAUUUUGUUGCCACUUAGAUUUAGAUGCGUGAGGUUUGGACACUUUUCUGCCAACACUUCCAGUCCUCCUGAGACUCUGUUGUCACUUAGUUCGAGCUUCUUAAGUUUGUUUAACUUUGGUAAGUUUGCAACUGAGGCUAAGCCUACGUUGAUUGUACUCAAGAAUUCCAGCUCUUCAAACUCAUCUGUAAGGCCUUCAAUUUUGCCUUCGUAUGACCUACAGUUGUCAAGAACAAGUUCCUUAACCCUCCGCUCGUCCCGCCGCCGCGUCUCGCCGCCAGGAACCUCCUCCCGCCCGGCGACAGCGGCGACAAAAUGGCAGACGGCGGCGGUCCGUCAUGGAGGAGCCCCUCCGCGCCCCGGCCGCCCCCGCCGCGCCCCCUGAGGGGAGGGGAGGGCCGCGCUCC
Molecule: long non-coding RNA, 2109 nt
Filed under: Gallus gallus (chicken)
Lineage: Eukaryota; Metazoa; Chordata; Aves; Galliformes; Phasianidae
Source: RNAcentral